AGAAUGCCAUCGGUUCGAUAGUUGUUUAAGAUUGUUGGACGCGUGUGGAUGUGCGGUGAACGGUCGAAAAUCGUAAUAAUAAUAAUUAAUAUAAAGAAGCACCGCAAAUGCAUACAAAAAGCAAACGCCGCAUUCAAUUAUUCAACGUAUAAACGUUAUUUAUAUAAAGUCUGAUAAUUGCCUAAUUAAAGGGAACGACUUAUUUUGUUAAAGAAUUGAAACGUAGCCAAAGUAUUUAAAGCGAGAGAGCGGCAAAUAGAAAUUUGCCACCAACACAUUUUUUUUAUUAUUGCUUCCUAUCCAAAUUCGUGCAUCGCGUGUGUUUUACGCGGCAUUGUUGACGCGUGUGUGUGUGUGCGUGCGUAUUCAACACAAAGAGAGUGCGAGAGAUAUAGCAAAAAUACUUUUGCUGCAACUUUUUGGUGCCAUACUCACUAAGGAAACUUUCGUUAUACGUACGUGUAUAUACCUCGUACGUGUGUGUGUGUGUGUGUGUGCAAGUGCAAGGCACGUGAAUGUCGCUGAAAAACCAACAAGCCUAUCAACCGCUACCAACUGCCGCGGCCGCCAUGGACAAUCCGGCGAUGAGCAACAGUAGUAGUAGCAGUGGAAGUAACGAGGAUGUUGCCCGACUAGCUCAGAAUGGGAUACCUCCGACAUACUCGUCACAACAGCUGGUUUCGUCAGAUUCUGAUUCCAUGGAACACCAUCGCUUGCAUGGAAACGGUAUAGUCCCCCAACCCCGAUCAAGACCAGCCAUAAGCAAAAGACAAUGGCUGACAAUAUCGGUGCUCUGCUUUGUUAAUCUCAUUAACUACAUGGAUCGUUUCACAAUUGCGGGUGUUUUGGAGGACGUGAAGAAAACCUUUGAUAUAGACAAUGAUUCUGCAGGCCUCUUGCAGACAGUAUUCGUCUUAUCUUAUAUGGUUUUCGCGCCACUCUUUGGUUAUUUGGGCGAUCGGUAUUCGCGUCGUUGGCUAAUGGUUGUGGGCGUGGCUCUAUGGUCAACAACCACACUGUUGGGCUCGUUCAUGAAAAACUUUGUAGGCUUCAUAACGUUCCGCGCCUUGGUCGGCAUCGGCGAAGCCUCCUAUAGCACCAUAGCCCCGACGAUUAUCUCCGAUUUGUUUAUAGAUAGCAUGCGCUCCAAAAUGCUGGCUUUCUUCUACUUUGCCAUUCCAGUGGGCUCCGGAAUGGGCUAUAUUGUGGGAUCAAAGACGGCUGAACUGGCCAACGAUUGGCGCUGGGCAUUGCGUGUCACGCCCAUUUUGGGCGUUUUCGCCGUCGUGCUGCUGGCGCUGCUGAAGGAUCCGAAGCGUGGCGAAAGCGAAGGCGUCGCACAGGUGGAACGCGAGAGCUUCUGGGUGGAGAUCAAGGAUCUGCUCACGAAUCGCACCUUCAUUCUGUCGACAGCUGGCUUCACCUGUGUCGCCUUUGUGACCGGCGCCCUGGCCUGGUGGGGUCCCAACUACAUUCAUCUCGGCCUCAAGAUGCAGCCAGGCAACGAAAACCUCAAGCAAGAAGACAUCUCCUAUAAGUUUGGCCUGGUCGCAAUGGCCGCUGGCCUGAUUGGUGUCCCGCUGGGAUCGGUGCUGGCCCAGCACUAUCGCACCCGCGUCGCCAACUGUGAUCCCUAUAUAUGCGGCAUCGGAUUGUUCGUAUCGGCGCCGAUGGUCUUCAUCGGUCUGCUCAUGGCCCGCAGCAGUGCGACGCUCUGUUUCCUUUUCGUGUUCGGGGCGCAGGUGGCGCUCAAUCUCUGCUGGUCCAUUGUGGCCGAUAUAUUGCUGUACGUGAUUGUGCCAUCCCGCCGCUCCACUGCCGAAGCCUUUCAAAUACUCGUAUCUCAUGCACUCGGAGAUGCAGGCAGUCCGUAUCUGGUGGGCGCUAUAUCGACGGCCAUUAGAAACAGAAUGAUCGCCGAGUCGAACACCGUUAAUGAUGCGAUGAUAAAAAGCAUGUCGCAAUUGGCGGAAAAUGCCACGGAAUUUUACUCAGAUAACCUACCCUCCAGGUCUGCGGUGGACCUUUCAACAUUCGAAUCGUUGCAAUAUUCGCUAUUCUCCACCACAUUUGUUGAGGUGUUGGGCGGCGUCUUCUUCCUUAUUACCGCCUGUUACAUUGUUAAUGACAAGGCAAAGGCGACAGCUGCCGUACUGGCUGACAACGACUCGAGAUCGGCGCCCGAUCCAUCCAAUCCGAAAGCACUUUUCGAAGCGGAAUGCCUGGUCAAUUUCACAGACAUUGCAUUGCGAGAGCGCGCGUGAGCAGCUUAAAGAGGCUUUAAACUAGGUUUCCUUUCUUGUUUGAUAGCCACAAAAACAACUUUCGAAUACAGUGCGCAGCAGCAGCAGCAGCAGCAGCCGCCGCAGCAGUCGCCGCGCAGCCGCAAUGCCUAAUAUCAGCCGAUCCAAGAAGCUUUGCUACGCACUCAGCGCGAAGGGAUUCUGUGUGAAUUGGCACUGACUGAUUAUCAUCUUUAAAAUUUGUAUUCAUAAACGAAUCAUCAUGCAUUUUUAGUAGAUUCCCAUAAAGGUCGAAAUACGUAUUUUCUUUGCUUCAUUUUAGUAUUUGUUUCUAAGCCACAUGAGCAUAAGCAAUAUGUUUUAUAGAAUGGCGCAUGUUCCUAUGCAUACAUACAUACAUACAUACAUGCAUAUGUAUAUGUACAGACACAUACACUCACACACACAU
Drosophila hydei is the source of this 2691-nucleotide RNA transcript. It is a transcript of the gene named protein spinster, with no coding region annotated. Lineage: Eukaryota; Metazoa; Arthropoda; Insecta; Diptera; Drosophilidae. The transcript has 9 exons. The record is from RefSeq and is a predicted model, not a curated record.